CUUUUUGUUCCACAUCAGGGAAUUCACAGGGUAUCCAUUAGAAACCAUAUCACAUUUACAAGGCUCCACGGACUUCCUUAAGCCUUGAUGCUCCAACGGGUUAUACAGGCUAAGAGGUGGGGAUGAGUGCAGAUCCGAAGUGGGUGGGUGAGGAUCUCCCAGCCUCUCAGCCCUGGCACGGGGACUUGCUUUUCUCCAGGCUAUCUGGUUCUCUCUGUUUAUUCUCUGCCUGCUUUCCUUGUGUCUCUCGUUGUUUCUCUCUAAAUCUCCAUCUUUCCCUCUCUGUCCCUCUCCCCCUCCCUCCUUUCCUCUCUGUCUUUGUAACUCUCCCUCAAUUUUACUCAUUUUAGUGGUUCACUCUUUGGAUCUAGGACCUUGGUCAGCAUGAGCAUUGCACUCACAGAGAGGGUGACACGUUUCCUGAUGCCUGAAAGAGAGAAAUAAGAUGGCCCAGGAGACUCCAGGGCACUCUGCCCACUAAGCAUCUUUUUGGUCCUCCCCCUGCCAGAUUGAAAGAUGACAGACUGAGGACAAGCCCUAAGGGGACAGAGAGUCUAAGGCUCCAUGUUCCAACUCUGCAAGCCCCACCUCAGCUCAACUCAACACCUUAGACCUUCAGCUCACAGUUCUCUACAGGACACUUGUGAAAACUUGGAAAAUAUUAAUUGCUUAACAGUCCGCUUGCAAGUUGAACAGGCAGAUAAGGAGGAAAAGCCUUUCUUCUUUGACAAGCUUUCCAUGAAACAUAACCCCAGAACACGAGUGCCCAGAUGUAUACAUUCCAGGCAUGAAAAUGAAGGAUAAUUCUCCAAAAAGACUGACUGGCCCUUGGGACAAGAUCCACAGAGACUUCAUCUGAAACGUUCUUCAUCAAUCAAGAUCAUUUUUACUCAACACAACUUGUCACUCAAGUUUAAUGACCUUCACUACCAGAAGCCCAGAGUUCUAGAGUUAACUGCAUCCUACUUGACCCUGGUGUGGUAUUGGCCAACAAAGAGGCAGCAGGACAAAGAACACACAAUGGAGCUUGGGGCUCAACAACCUGGGAUCUGGGGCCAGACUCCACUUUGAAACUUUGGGUUUGCUCAUUACACACAGUGUCGGCAGCUGGUGAGUGUCUUUUGCAAUUCAUCAGAGGCCUCCAAGACCACCUGCUCUCGGCAUCCUGCAAACAGCUGGCUCUGGGAAAAGCCACAGGGAGGCUUUGUGGAGCUUGAGCUAAGGCCACCAGAUGUCCCAGGAUUAAGAAGCCAAUCCCAGUUUCCAAGGUCGUCACCACUUUAAUUUUUUGUAACGUUUGCCUCAAUUUUUAACCCUGAAAUGACCCUCUAUGUGGCCAUGCCCUACUCCAGUCCCUGAAGAAAAGCUAGAGAUGGUGGGAGCAGGAGCCAAAAGCUGGGCACUGGCAAGAAGGAAGGACAAGUUUAGAGAGGAGACACGUUGCAGGUCAGCCACAAUGUGGCUGACCUUGACAAUACAGAAACCAAAAACCAGGUGAAGGUCUGGGAAUGGGUGUCAUUUUGAGAGGUUUCCAAAGUUUAUCACAGACAGCCAGAAACUUCUCUGAGGUCUACUGAGAAAAUUCUUAUAAUUUGAAGCUGGAUCCUGGAUAACCCAACACAACUACGAUCCCCGUGAAGGAAAAAGUUAUUCAUGAUACUUGUUAAAGAAUGGCAAGGCAAACUCUAUUCAAAGGGGCUACUCCAGUGGGUUUUUUUAGUAGGGAAGAGAAAUUGGGCUCAACUCAGAAUACAAGGAAAAGUGGGAAUUUACAGGCAAGGAGGUCAAGGGGCAGGCUGGGGAGCAGUCCAUGGGAAAUUACUAAGAGGAAACCUCAGGGUUGGAUGUGGUGGCUCACACUUGUAAUCCCAGCACUUUGGGAGGCCAGGGCAGGCGGAUCACUUGAGGUCAGGAGUUCGAGACAAGCCUGGCCAGCAUGGCAAAACCUCGUCUCUACUAAAAAUACAAAAAUUAGCCAGGCAUGGCUACAUGGCAGUGCCACUACAAGCACGUGCCUCCAGACCUCCAAAGAGGAGUCAGGAGGCUGAGGCAGGACAAUUGCUUAAACCCGGGAGGUGGAGGUUGCAGUGGCAGAGGUCACAUCGCCACUGCACUCCAGCUGGGGCAACAGAGUGAGACCCUGUCUCAAAAAAAAAAAUAAUAAAAGGGGGAAACCUCAGGGGUAAGGGGGAUUCUGCCUAAACUGACCUAAUAGGAUUCUUGCUGACAGCAGGCCAGGGUGGCCAGACAUCACCUGAGGAGCUGGUGGGUGGAGGAUGAAGAACCCCAUCAAACCUUGCUAUUAAGAACCCAGCUCUUCUGUGAGGCUGAGGAGCAGUAGCAUCAGCAUCGACUGAGGGACUUGUCAGAAAUACAGACUCCCAGAAUCAGAAUCUACAUUUUAACAUUUCCGAUCCCCAGGUGACUUGUUUGCACAUUAAAGGUUGACAAGCUUCUUACCCUCUUCUGUGCCCUUGAUUCUUUUAGGUCAAAUAUAUCUGGUGUAGAUUGCUACCACC
Molecule: long non-coding RNA, 2519 nt
Filed under: Homo sapiens (human)
Lineage: Eukaryota; Metazoa; Chordata; Mammalia; Primates; Hominidae
Description: HSALNT0249006
Source: RNAcentral